RNAcentral lists this long non-coding RNA (359 nucleotides) under Ricinus communis (castor bean). RNAcentral's name for it is "long non-coding RNA (RCOM_LNC001217)". The record is from RNAcentral. Lineage: Eukaryota; Viridiplantae; Streptophyta; Magnoliopsida; Malpighiales; Euphorbiaceae.
GAUACAAAAAAAGGAAAAAGAUUAUAUAUCGGAAUCAGGAGAGAUAUGAACCGCAUGCAGAAUCUGAUUGGUACACAUUGGAUGGUCAAGAGGAAGUCAACCUUGGGUGAGGAGGGUCCACGGUAGGACGACGGGAAGUGAUGUAAUACGGCAGUCAGGCAUGCUUUGUCUCCGUUUUCGGCGUCCCUUCUGAACCGAUUGAUUGAUAGACGCAAGGCACCACUUGAUGCCACUUGCUCAAUUAUUGCAAGAGUUAGGUACUGAUGCAACCGUGUGUCCGCCACACGAUUGCCAAAUCCCUCUCUUCCUUUUUCUUUUUUUUGUUGGGAGAUUUAGGGAAAAAUAGAAAACGCAAAUUG